AAUGAACGCUGGCGGCAUGCCUAACACAUGCAAGUCGAACGAAGGCUUCGGCCUUAGUGGCGCACGGGUGCGUAACGCGUGGGAAUCUGCCCCUUGGUUCGGAAUAACAGUUAGAAAUGACUGCUAAUACCGGAUGACGACGUAAGUCCAAAGAUUUAUCGCCGAGGGAUGAGCCCGCGUAGGAUUCGCUAGUUGGUGGGGUAAGAGCGCACCAAGGCGACGAUCCUUAGCUGGUCUGAGAGGAUGAUCAGCAACACUGGGACUGAGACACGGCCCAGGCUCAUACGGGAGGCGGCAGUGGGGAAUAUUGGACAAUGGGCGAAAGCCUGAUCCAGCAAUGCCGCGUGAAUGAUGAAGGCCUUAGGGUUGUAAAGCUCUUUUACCCGGGAUGAUAAUGACAGUACCGGGAGAAUAAGCUCCGGCUAACUCCGUGCCAGCAGCCGCCGUAA
Molecule: ribosomal RNA, 449 nt
Filed under: uncultured bacterium
Lineage: Bacteria
Description: partial 16S ribosomal RNA
Rfam family: Bacterial small subunit ribosomal RNA
Source: RNAcentral